This 72-nucleotide transfer RNA is filed under the name Hydrogenobaculum sp. Y04AAS1. Its description in RNAcentral is "tRNA-Gly (CCC) (tRNA-Gly-CCC-1-1)". It matches the Rfam family "tRNA". Rfam says of the family: Transfer RNA (tRNA) molecules are approximately 80 nucleotides in length. Their secondary structure includes four short double-helical elements and three loops (D, anti-codon, and T loops). RNAcentral also lists the same sequence under 5 other names. Lineage: Bacteria; Pseudomonadati; Aquificota; Aquificia; Aquificales; Aquificaceae. The record is from RNAcentral.
GCGGUAAUAGCUCAAUGGUAGAGCGGCUGCUUCCCAAGCAGCAGGUUGCGGGUUCGAAUCCCGUUUACCGCU